AAAAAAAAUUAAAAAAAAAAAAAAAAAAAAAAAAAAAAAAACAUCCAACAGAUAAUGUUUCUUUUUCUUUUUUGACUUAAUUCCUCGAUACACAUAUAUAUAUAUAUAUAUAUAAUGGUGUUUUUUUUUAUUAAAAACAUAAUAUAAUAUGCGAAAAAACAAAAAUGUACACGUUCCAAUAAAUAAAAUGAAAAGUGUAAAAUAUUUUUAUAAAAUAUUUAUAUAUAUAUAAAUAUAUAUAUAUACACACACACACACACACACACACAUAUAUAUAUAUAUAUAUAUAUACCGUGAAUUAUAUAGUAAUAUAUAAUAAUAUAUAUUCAUCUAACUACACAUUUUAUUUAUUUACACAUAUCUAUUUUCGUAUAUGUAUUUACAAAAAAAGAUCUCGUACCUUAUUAUAUAAUUUACUUUUUUUUUUUUUUUUUUUUUUUUUAUAAAAUAAUCGUAUAGAUUUACAUUAGGUAUACAUUUAAUAAUAAUAAUAAUAAUAAUAAUAAUAAUAAUAAUAAUAAUAAAAAUAAAAAUAAUAAUAAUGAUAAUUAUAAUUAUAAUAAUAAUAACUGAACGGGGGCAGCAGGUUUUUUUUCCAAUUUUAUAUCAGUUUAGUUUAUUAGGAAUAUAAUAACAAUUUAUCGCGGUGAAAUCGACGAUUAUUGGGUUUGCGUUUACGGUCGAGAGAAAAAAAAAAAAAAAACUUAAAAAUAACAAAAUUUAUAAUAAUAAUAAUGAUGUUUAAAUUAUUAGUAAAAAUAUAUGAGAAACCCCACCCCCCCCUCCCUCCUCCUCCCCGACUCGUCGGCGAAUACAUUUUACAAAAUCAUUAUAAAGCCGAAACACUCCCUCGUAAGUGUAUGCCUAUGUAUGUAGGCACAAAAUCCAUUUUUAUUUUAAACCGCGAUGGAAAAAAAAAUAUAAUAAAAACAACAAAAAAAUCACUUUUGACGCGCCAAAAAAUGUGUCGGCAACAUAGUAAUAAUGCCGUAAAAAAAAAAAAGAAUUAAAAAUAUUACGCAUUUCGUUCAACCCGAUCGUAUUUGCGGCAAUGUGCGCGCGCACAAUACAUUUUUCGUAUAUGUAACUUAGAGUUUUAUUUAUUUUUUUUUGAAAUUUAUUAUUGGUUUUUUCGAGAGAGACAGAGAGACAAAGCGAGACGGGUUAUUUGAUUUAUUCGGAUGCUGCGGCAACUACCGCGCGCACCGAUAAUAAUAUUAUAAACAUUUGGAGAGGGUUAUGUUAUCGUAGAAAAUAUUACGAAGAAGGUAAAAAAAAAAUAAUAAUAAUAUUACGAAAAAAAGCGUCGUCGUCGUAUACACUGGCAGCGGUAGUGUGUUGUCGGGACCCGGGUUCUCUUUUUUUGUCGUUUUUUCUUUCUCUGUCUCCCUGUCUCUCUCUCUCUCUCGUCGCCGGAGUAAUUUUAUUAUUACCUUUUUUCAUCCGUCACAUAAAUCACGAAUAAUAAAACGGAGAAGAUGAAAAAAAAAAGAAGAAGACGGCGAAAUGAAAUGGAAAAAAAAAAAAAAAUAAAAAAAAAAAUACUGAACAAAAAUUAUGAAUCGUUCGAAUACCGAACCGGUUUUCACUGCAUGCUGCAGCGGUACACUCCGCGGCCGCCGCUGCAGAUAGACCGAGGAGAUACAACGCGCUAUAACAACAAACAAGUGUUUUUUUUUGUAUUUUUUUCGUGAAGGGAAUCGAAAAUCAAAACGAAAACCCUUAACCCCUCUCCCCCCCCCCGAGGAAUGUUCCUAUUUAUGUCCCCGCCGUUUCUGUUGUAGGAAAUCGGUUUUUUUUUUCUCUCGUGUGGGAGCAGCUCACAUCGACGAGUGCGGUUUUGUAUUGACUAGUUUUUUCGCCGAGAGAGGCGGGGAACACCUAAGAGGAUCUACGCGUUAACGGGGGUAUUGUAUUAUACAAUGUACUUACAGGAAUUCGAAUUUUUUAUUUUUUUUUAAUAUUUAAACGAAAAUUUACCGUUUUUUUUUAAUGUUUUUCCGUUUUUCACGAAAACGGAACCCUCGGAGACGAGCGAAAGUGUUUCGACAGCGUUCAUAACCACCGCCGGGAGACAGGGGGGAGGGGUCGAUUUUAAUAAUAUCAAUUCGUACGGGAAGGGAAAACCAAAAAAAAAAAAAAUAAAAUAAAAUAAAAUAAUAAUAACUAUAAAAUAACGAGAGAAAAAAGAAAAAGAAAAAAUGUUUAAAAAAAUACCUGUAUUUAUAUCGAGGUCUGCGAAGUUAUGUCCGCGGGAGAAUAAACACAGAAAAAAAAAAAAAAAAAAUUUGAUAAUAAAAUGUAUUUUAUUUAUUUUCGGCUGCCGAUCCCGCUGUCCCGUCGUGGCUGCGCGUGGUUGACGGUCGCCGGCCGGGUCUUCCGCGUCCUGACGGCUCCGCGAUCCCGCGCCACCGAUGUCCUCGCGGUCUCCGCGGUCCAUCGUCGUCGUCGUCGUCGUCGUCGUCGUCGUGGUCGUCCUCGGCGCCGGUUUCCGCGGUCCUCUGCUCGGCCGUGGGUGCGUGACAUUUCGCGUUUUUCGCCGUAGUCUCCCGUCCCCGCCGUCGGCGUUACGGACAACAACAGUUGUCGUCAAUGUCCGCGCGCUCCGGCGGCCCGAUGAUCUUCCUCGUUGGCGGCAUUAUUAUUAUUAUUAUUAUUGUUGUUAUUAUUGUUAUUGUUGUUAUUGUUAUUCGUCUUCGUUCGUCUUCGUCCUCUUCGUUUUUACGUUUACGGGGGGUGGUGAGGGGGAGUGGGGGAAAAAAAAAACCCGUUAUCGGUACGUUACCGUAACGCGCUCGUAACACCGCAUAAUAAUAACAAAUAUACACAACAUUAUAUAUUUAAAUAACGAUUAAAAAUUUGCGGAAAUAUAAUACAUACAUACAUACGUACGUACGCAUAUAUAUAUAUAUAUAUAUAUAUAUAUUGUCGUAUUAAUAUCAUUAUUACUAUAAUAAUAAUAUUUAAACUAUAAAAG
This 2977-nucleotide long non-coding RNA is filed under the name Cinara cedri. The record is from RNAcentral. Lineage: Eukaryota; Metazoa; Arthropoda; Insecta; Hemiptera; Aphididae.